Gossypium raimondii (Peruvian cotton) is the source of this 87-nucleotide non-coding RNA. NCBI's taxonomy places the organism in Eukaryota, Viridiplantae, Streptophyta, Magnoliopsida, Malvales, Malvaceae. The record is from Rfam.
CACAUCAGCGCGCUUUGUUGACGUGGCAGCAAAUCGCGUCCUAGAGGGUGCGAUUUGUUGCCAUGUCAGCAACUCGCGCUAACAUGG